UCGUGACUGCGUGCCUUUUGAAGAAUGAGCCUGCGAGUUUGCGGUGUGUUGCGAGGUUAACCCGUGUGGGGAAGCCGUAGCGAAAGCGAGUCCGAAUAGGGCGUUUUAGUAGCGCGCUCAAGACCCGAAGCGGAGUGAUCUAGCCAUGGGCAGGUUGAAGCGGAGGUAAGACUUCGUGGAGGACCGAACCCACCAGGGUUGAAAACCUGGGGGAUGACCUGUGGUUAGGGGUGAAAGGCCAAUCAAACUCCGUGAUAGCUGGUUCUCCCCGAAAUGCAUUUAGGUGCAGCGUCGUGUGUUUCUUGCCGGAGGUAGAGCACUGGAUAGGCGAUGGGCCCUACCGGGUUACUGACCUUAGCCAAACUCCGAAUGCCGGUAAGUGAGAGCGCGGCAGUGAGACUGUGGGGGAUAAGCUCCAUGGUCGAGAGGGAAACAGCCCAGAGCAUCGACUAAGGCCCCUAAGCGUACGCUAAGUGGGAAAGGAUGUGGAGUCGCAGAGACAACCAGGAGGUUGGCUUAGAAGCAGCCAUCCUUGAAAGAGUGCGUAAUAGCUCACUGGUCAAGUGAUUCCGCGCCGACAAUGUAGCGGGGCUCAAGCGUACCGCCGAAGUCGUGUCAUU
RNAcentral lists this ribosomal RNA (620 nucleotides) under Streptomyces sp. SID8361. RNAcentral describes it as "partial 23S ribosomal RNA". It matches the Rfam family "Bacterial large subunit ribosomal RNA", at positions 591 to 1209 of the family's 2925-position model. Lineage: Bacteria; Bacillati; Actinomycetota; Actinomycetes; Kitasatosporales; Streptomycetaceae. The record is from RNAcentral. RNAcentral also lists the same sequence under 1 other name.